This 1173-nucleotide ribosomal RNA is filed under the name Triticum aestivum (bread wheat). RNAcentral's name for it is "partial small subunit ribosomal RNA". Lineage: Eukaryota; Viridiplantae; Streptophyta; Magnoliopsida; Poales; Poaceae. The record is from RNAcentral.
AUGGAGAGAUUCAGAUUGGCUCUUGUUGAUUGUGGUCUUAAGGAUUUGGGUUUUAUAGGGGAUAAGUACACCUGGCGCAACCAUAGCUGGGAUGCUAGCCGGUACAUCAAGGAAAGGUUAGAUAGAGCGGUUGGCUCGAGAAGCUGGUGUGCAAGGUUCCCACACUGUAAAGUGGUGAACGGAGACCCGCGUCAUUCAGAUCAAAGGCCAGUGACUAUCCAUAUAAAAGGAGUUAUUGGGGCACAAAAAUUCAGAAGAAGGGCACACAACUUCAGAUUUGAGGCAAGAUGGCUACAGGAGGAAGAUUGUGAGGCCAUUGUAAACAAUGCCUGGGCCAAAGCAAAGCGGAGAGGGGAGACUACUAUUCAAGGUAUGCCGAGCAUGGUUGCAGGGGACUUGAAAAACUGGGACGCCAAUGUGUUGGGAGAUCUUCAAAAAAGAAUAAAAGAUCUAAAGAAAGAGUUGGAGGAGGUAAGAAGAGGGGAUAUUAAUCAAGACCAAGUUUCAAGAGAGCACUUCCUUAGAGAGAAAUUGGAUCACCUUGAAUACCAACAGGACACUCAUUGGAGACAACGUGCCCAUGUCAAAUGGCUACAAGAUGGGGAUAGAAAUACGUCUUUCUUCCAUGCUUUUGCCUCGGAAAGGAAAAGGAGAAACACCAUCCAAAAAUUACUGAGGGAUGAUGGGAGUUGGGCUGAAGGGGAAGACUCACUCAAGGAACAUGUUACAAACUAUUUUUCUAACAUAUUUUCCUCCAAGAUUAUAUGGAGCAACAUUGAGGAAAUUAUGCAGGCUGUAGAUGUAAAGGUGACAGAGCAAAUGAACAAUGGGCUGUGUGCUGAGUACACAGAAGAAGAGGUUAAAACAACACUAAAUUGCAUCGGCGAUCUUAAGGCGCCGGGUCCCGACGGAAUGCCUGCUAUUUUUUUCAAAAAGUUUUGGCAAACUGUUGGAGAAGAGGUGGUCAAGGAAGCACUUCAUAUUCUAAGAGGGGGAGACAUGCCAGAGGGUUGGAAUGACACAUUCAUUGUUUUAAUCCCGAAGAACAACAAUCCAAUGAAGAUUAAUGAUCUCAGACCAAUAAGCCUAUGUAAUGUGGUAUACAAGCUGGUCUCAAAGGUAAUUACAAAUAGGCUUAAAGUAAUUCUCCCCAACAUUAUCUCCCCUAACUAA